RNAcentral lists this ribosomal RNA (471 nucleotides) under uncultured bacterium. RNAcentral's name for it is "SSU rRNA". It matches the Rfam family "Bacterial small subunit ribosomal RNA", at positions 26 to 518 of the family's 1533-position model. The record is from RNAcentral.
AGGACGAACGCUGGCGGCGUGCUUAACACAUGCAAGUCGAGCGGUGAUCCUCCUUCGGGAGGUGAUCAGCGGCGAACGGGUGAGUAACACGUGGGCAACCUGCCCCUCACACUGGGAUAACCUCGGGAAACCGGGGCUAAUACCGGAUACGACCUCGAGCGGCAUCUCUUGAGGUGGAAAGCUCCGACGGUGAGGGAUGGGCCCGCGGCCUAUCAGCUUGUUGGUGGGGUAAUGGCCUACCAAGGCGACGACGGGUAGCCGGCCUGAGAGGGCGCACGGACACACUGGAACUGAAACACGGUCCAGACUCCUACGGGAGGCAGCAGUGGGGAAUUUUGCGCAAUGGGGGAAACCCUGACGCAGCAACGCCGCGUGGAGGAUGAAGUACUUCGGUACGUAAACUCCUUUCGAUCGGGACGAUAAUGACGGUACCGGAAGAAGAAGCCCGGCUAACUUCGUGCCAGCAGCCGC